GUUAAAAUAUCGCCUAUAGUAAAGAAAUAAUCAUCUUUUGUAUAUUCGUAUAUUGAAGUACAUUGAUAUAUUGAAGAUGGUCGUAGGUCAUGCGUAGCGGACUCCACCCUUCCAGUGGUAGGCUUAACCAGAAAGACCCACCUCUCGUCAACAUCAACCCCCACUUAUUCUUGACAUAAUUUGAUUCAUGAUGGCUGUAACAACGAUCAAAGCACCAUCUUGCAAUUCACCUCAAAAAUCGUUGAGAAUCUCUAUGGCUCGAUACAGUAGAUCGCGAAGAAAUCUAUUAUCAACAAUGGGAUACUUAUAAAACAGGUUACGCUCCCUUCUUCAUAGAUGGCAGAAUUUUUCGUUUUAUCAAGUUUAUACGUUUACAAAGUAUUUUUAAUUUUUCAUAAAGUGAAAAUUAUUCAAAUUCUUUAGAAUAUUUAAAAAAAAUUCAAUUUUUGAAUGAUUUGUAUAAUUCUUUCGUAAGAAACAUUUAAAAAUCUUCUCUCUAUUUCUUCUUGUCCUAAAUUCAUAUUAAAAUAUUUUUUCACAAAAUAUUUUCCAAUGAUAUCGAGAGUUAAUAAUUAUUAACGCUAUUAUAUGUGCGUAAUGCCAACUUAAUCCGUUUACAAUUACUAUUUUCGGAAUAUCAAUCCCAUCGCGCAAAACACAAGAGGUUUUAUCAUCCUCCACGUGUCAACCACAUUUUUAACAUUGCAUGCGGCGUGUUUCUUUCUCGUCCGAGCGUGUUACGCAAUCUCAUAACAACGAUCGUCGGCCUAAACGCGCGAGCACGUGUCACAUCACGUUUUCAGUCUUUCUGACACCGAGCAGUUUCGCCGGGUGAAGUCUUACCUUCGCGAUCCCAUGGGGCCAGUAUUCUAGAACAUGUAACUGACACUGGUCAGAGAAGAGGCAUGCCUUCUUCCUCAUUGAAACUGACGCUGACUGAAUCCGCAUCCGACGCCCUUUCCUCUGAAUUCCACGGGAACAAACUUAGAAUCGCCCUUACCGCGAUUUAACAACGCUCUAACCUCAAUUUUUUUUUUUCAAACGAAUCGAAUAUAUAAUACUCGUGUAGACAAUGAAUAAUAAUAAAACAAGGAAUUAAAAUUA
This is a long non-coding RNA of Apis cerana (Asiatic honeybee), 1104 nucleotides long. RefSeq lists it as uncharacterized. NCBI's taxonomy places the organism in Eukaryota, Metazoa, Arthropoda, Insecta, Hymenoptera, Apidae. The record is from RefSeq and is a predicted model, not a curated record.